AUAUGAAAAUAUAAUCAUAUAACAUGAUUAUAAUUAAGUAUCUCAAGUAUAUCACAUAUGCAUGAAAUUUUAAUAACAUGCAUAAAUAUAAAAUAUUUUUUUCAUAGUUCUUCUUCUUGGGACAUCACAGUGGUACCCCUACACACCAUAAGAGCACCUUAUGGAAUAGGAAGAGAGGAUCUUUGAACCCUACUUGCUC
Molecule: long non-coding RNA, 199 nt
Filed under: Elaeis guineensis (African oil palm)
Lineage: Eukaryota; Viridiplantae; Streptophyta; Magnoliopsida; Arecales; Arecaceae
Description: long non-coding RNA (EGUI_LNC048866)
Source: RNAcentral